UGCAGUGAAGUACUGGUGUUGGUACGUAGAAUUUUGAUUUCUAAGGGGCGGGGGUAGCCGUUGCUGUAA
Molecule: transfer RNA, 69 nt
Filed under: Barbatia virescens
Lineage: Eukaryota; Metazoa; Mollusca; Bivalvia; Arcoida; Arcidae
Description: tRNA-Gln
Source: RNAcentral